GCUGAUUUUGCUCAAUUUCUAAGUCACUAUCCAACAAUCUUAAAAACCACAGCCAAGUAUCAUUUGUUUCACCCUCAACAAUGGCAUAAGAGAUUGGAUAAAUGUUGUUGUUUGGAUCCAGACCAACUGCAGCUAACAAUUGACCCCUAUUCUGCCCUUUCAGAAAACAACCAUCAACCCACACAACAGGCCUACAUGCAGCUUUAAACCCUUCUUUAAGUGAUGAAAAACAAAUAUAGAGCCU
Molecule: long non-coding RNA, 244 nt
Filed under: Erythranthe guttata (spotted monkey flower)
Lineage: Eukaryota; Viridiplantae; Streptophyta; Magnoliopsida; Lamiales; Phrymaceae
Description: long non-coding RNA (EGUT_LNC001859)
Source: RNAcentral